This 343-nucleotide ribosomal RNA is filed under the name Innesoconcha prensa. RNAcentral describes it as "partial large subunit ribosomal RNA". It matches the Rfam family "Bacterial large subunit ribosomal RNA", at positions 1817 to 2535 of the family's 2925-position model. Lineage: Eukaryota; Metazoa; Mollusca; Gastropoda; Stylommatophora; Euconulidae. The record is from RNAcentral.
AGUUUUAUGAAACUUUAUAAAAUGAAACCUGCCCAAUGAAUUUUUAAUGGCCGCAGUACUUUAACUGUGCUAAGGUAGCAUAAUAAUUUGGCUUUUAAUUAAAGUCUGGUAUGAAAGGAUUAAUGGGUAAAAGCUGUCUUAUUUAACUUUAAAAAAAUUACUUAAAAGGUGAAAAUUCCUUUAGUAAAUUAAUAGACGAGAAGACCCUAGGAGUUUUUGUUUUGUUGGGGCAACAUCUUAGUUAAAUAACCUAUUUAAUAAUUUAAACGAUUAUAUUAAUUAUAAUUAAACUACCCUAGGGAUAACAGCAUAAUUUUUUAAAAGAUUGUGACCUCGAUGUUGG